CGGACGGGUGAGUAACGCGUGAGAAUCUGCCUUCAGGUCGGGGAUAACAGCUGGAAACGGCUGCUAAUACCGGAUGAGCCGAGAGUAAAAGCAAAAGUGCCUGAAGAUGAUCUCGCGUGUUGAUUAGCUAGUUGGUGGGGUAAGAGCCUACCAAGGCGACGAUCAGUAGCUGGUCUGAGAGGAUGAUCAGCCACACUGGGACUGAGACACGGCCCAGACUCCUACGGGAGGCAGCAGUGGGGAAUUUUCCGCAAUGGGCGCAAGCCUGACGGAGCAAUACCGCGUGAGGGAGGAAGGCCCUUGGGUUGUAAACCUCUUUUGUCAGGGAAGAAGGUCUGACGGUACCUGACGAAUCAGCAUCGGCUAACUCCGUGCCAGCAGCCGCGGUAAUACGGAGGAUGCAAGCGUUAUCCGGAUUUAUUGGGCGUAAAGGGUCCGCAGGUGGUUAUUCAAGUUUGCUGUCAAAGCGCGGAGCUUAACUCCGUACAGGCGGUGGAAACUGAGGAACUAGAGUCUGGUAGGGGUCGCGGGAAUUCCCAGUGUAGCGGUGAAAUGCGUAGAUAUUGGGAAGAACACCGGCGGCGAAAGCGCGCGACUGGACCGGAACUGACACUGAGGGACGAAAGCUAGGGGAGCGAAAGGGAUUAGAUACCCCUGUAGUC
This 662-nucleotide ribosomal RNA is filed under the name uncultured cyanobacterium. RNAcentral's name for it is "bacterial SSU rRNA". It matches the Rfam family "Bacterial small subunit ribosomal RNA", at positions 99 to 795 of the family's 1533-position model. Lineage: Bacteria; Bacillati; Cyanobacteriota. The record is from RNAcentral.